GAAUAAACUUUUCCCAAGGUUUCUUUCUCAGCACAAAGGAAAAUCUCAAUGAUUUGACUUGUUCUGGUUUUGAAUUCAGACUGCAAGAAUCUCCAACCAAAUUCGGAGAUCAGUCUCUCCAGUACCCAGUCAUCUGUCCAUGAAGAGUGACUUCUCUAUGGAUCGUCGUAUACAUUUUAGUGAUGGUUCAGGGACCUUUGACCCCAGGAUCCAUUUUGAGACGACAGAGCAGAAAACACUGUCUGGAGAGAAGUACAAAAUAAAUGUGGAACAUGGUGGAGAGAACACAAUGAAACCUGGACU
This is a long non-coding RNA of Coregonus clupeaformis (lake whitefish), 303 nucleotides long. RefSeq lists it as uncharacterized. The transcript has 4 exons. NCBI's taxonomy places the organism in Eukaryota, Metazoa, Chordata, Actinopteri, Salmoniformes, Salmonidae. The record is from RefSeq and is a predicted model, not a curated record.